AACACCCACAAACAACGUCACGACGCAACGUGGUUAAACAGUACGUUUAUUAAAGUAACUGGGUGAACGACAUCGGAGCGGACUGCAAAUCGCAACGCUACUUUCUCGAAUGCAGAUACUCUUCGAGACGGCUAAACAACGUGUCCAACUCGCUGAGACCUUUCCGCGUGCCGUUAUCCGAUUUCCUUUCCGCCUCCUGAGACAGCCGACUAAUCACGGACUUAUCUCCGCAACCUAACAGAGGCUGGGAGCCCGACAAAAGUAAAACAGCGUGCUAUGAACACGUUGUUACCUCUGCGCGGACAGCGCCGCCACAGAGACACUUACGCAUUGCCGCAUGUCUUUGUAGAUGGAUUCUAGCGUCGAGCGCAUACUAUGCAAUUCCGUCUUAAGUCCAGGAUAGACGUGGUCGCCUGCGGGGAACACGAUCUCCAGAUACCGCCUCAACAACCAGUCCAUGACGCUGCAUCCCCAACAGCCUUUGACCACCGUACCGUCGAGCCACACGGAGUAGUCGUCCUCACGUUGCUACAAGAGGAAAACUACGUCACCCGACACGCGGAAAAGAAAGACCGUCGCAAUAAACCGUACCUACGUGACCUACCAACGUAGGUUUUACUCGAUGAAAGGUGACGCGGAGAUCUUGCAAUCUGGUCGCGUAAUCCUCCGGACGACACUGCGGCUUUGUAUUCUUUAUCGUCGUCGUCGUCGUCGCCGCCGGCUUCGCCUCCUCGGAAGCGCCUAGAAAAAAGACGAUCAGGACCAGAGAGGAAGAGACCAUCACCGACAGCAUCGCCGCAGCAUGCCGCCCCAGUCCGCCGCCCAACUGCGCGUCCCAGAUACCACUCGUAGACUGUCAGCCUCGCGAGGAGACACCGCGGACCGGGGAAACGGAUAAGUUUACGAACAGAAAUCUCAAGAGAAAGACGCUGACCCGAUAAGUACCGUCACGGAGACACGGUGGUUUUUAUUGAAUUUCCAGUGUAUCGAGCCACCGUGAUGCAGGUACGGUGGUUUUAUGUAAAGUGCCGCUAUCUAUAGGCGAUGUGUUCCCUGACGGUGUGUGUUUUUUUGGGGAUAGACAACGUGGUUCUUGUACGUGGUUUUUACCCUGCUCAAUAAAGUCACGUUUUCCUUACACGGUGUUGUGUC
This 1152-nucleotide small RNA is filed under the name Human betaherpesvirus 5. RNAcentral's name for it is "RNA5.0". Lineage: Duplodnaviria; Heunggongvirae; Peploviricota; Herviviricetes; Herpesvirales; Orthoherpesviridae. The record is from RNAcentral.